CAGCGCCCGGCCCGGCCCUCGCCGCCUCAGCCAGGGCCCGCCGCGGCCUCUCCGCGGGGAACGGCGGCGCUCAGCGGACCAGCCAGGGCGGUCGUCCCGGGGCUAAAGCUCAGCACAGCAAUGAAGUGGUGAGAACAUAGCCUGGUUUGGCUUUUGAGCACUGCAGAGGGCUGUAAGGACACCUAAGCUGCAGGUAAUCUUGUGAAGUAGGAAACAGCUGAUUUUAAGGUAAGCAGAAUGAUUUAAAGCAUAAAAAACCACCGAUUUCAAAUCCAUUCUUACCUCAUUCAACUACUUGAUAAAGCAGGCAUAAUGUAGCCAAUUGAGCCAAAUGAGUAAAUCCCACCACCUCGGAUUUGGGUAAGCUGCUUGGGGUAAUUAAGAAAAAGUGUUUAAGCGCAAUGGUCCUUGAAAUACUUAAAAGAUCAAAGAACAAAGUCGAUGAGAUAGAAAUGAGUACAAAUUAUUUUGAAUCUAUACUAAUAUAACUCUCUUUCUGCAAUCUUCACUUUGCUGCUUAGCAUGCAAAAUCCUCUCUUAGAAAUGAAAGUGACAGUUCUUGCGAUAGCUCUGCAGACACUGGAUGCACCGCAUGUCUGCGCAUGGAUUUUGGAGACAUCCAGGAUGGGAAAAUACUGCAUCCCUCACACAGUCUCUGGUUACCAAGGCAAAGGCAGAGUUACAUUAAACAGUGGAAGUAAUGAUCAAAAAUAUGAAGAUGUAUGAUUUCUUAAGUGCUUGAGCUGAAACACAGGAAGUUUCUGGAACCUCUGAAGAGAGAAUUGUUCCCAUCAGUAAUACUACAUUCAUCCCUUCAACCUUGCUUCUUGAUAAACUGCCACAUAUAAGUGGCACAUUUAUUAAAGUGUCUUGUUACAGAAAGACCACUUAGCUUUUAGUAGAAUUAUGUGAGUGAUCUCUCAAUGGCCUUGCAGGUCUGAAAGCGGACAUUGUUCUGAAGUUUUAGUCAAGGAAAAAGCAAAUUGAGUAAUCUCUUCUUCACAACCAACCACUGGAUUGCCAGCUGCACUUCAUUUGCUGGCAAUCUCCCCCCACUUUCAGAUGUUCACAGACCUACAGCCUUACCCACAUCUCCAGCUGCUGAACUUGCAGGCCACGAGAUGCCAGUGUCAGGUCUUGGGAGGGGAGAGUCCAUAACGCGCGGAGCAAGACUGACAGGUGAGCAGAUGUGGGUGCACCCUGGGAAAGGCUGCUCCUGCAGCGCUCCCGGGAGCACAGGGCUCUGGUGAGGAACUGGAACAGACACGGGGCAGGGAAAAUGCUACAAGAACCUUCCUUUUUUGGAGUCUGAGUGUGUAUCUAGAGGCUUAACAUUAAGUGGAGAAAUUUAUGAUAGGCUCUUUAGUUGCAGUGUUUUGCAAUUGGAGAGGAAAUUACAGUGCAAGCAAUGCACUGUAUUAAUUUAAAACUAGUUAGCAACAACUAAUUUUAAACUAUUUAAAAUAAAUUUAUAUGGACAGGCAGACAACAGCUAUAGCAUUCAUAUAGAUGCAGAGGCAUUUCCCUCAGUGCAGAUGUUACUCUUUUAAAAGAAGGAAGAAUCCAAGUACCUGUAAUGUACAAGUAAUGUGGGGGAUUUUUUUGUUAUUUCCAAUGGUAUUGUCAGUGUUUCUCUUCUUGAGUCCUUAGAAAGAAAAUCCAUCAGAUGAUAGAGAAAAUGGAAGAGUUGAGUCUAAGCAAUUUCAGGUACCUUCAGACUAAGAGGGAGGGCCCCUUAGCACCACUGUCCAGGCUUUGAUAGCCCAGAGUUGGAACAAGAACUGCAGAAGGUUACCCUAAAUAAACUUGCUGCAGGACUUACACAUGCACAGUUAUGAAUAAACCCACUAUUCAUGUUAAUAUUUGUGUUAAAAUACUGAAAAGCAUUUUCCUUUUCCACAUAAGAAAUCCGUAUCCCUGACCUGCAGUAACAGCUAUUUCUAAUACUCAAUAAAUCGAUGUGGUGGUUCUGCCAGCCCAAAGUACAGCUUUGCGGGCCUCCAUCUUGGCUCCAGCACAUCUCAAAUUUUCUUCUCAGGUACUAAGCCUCCAUUAAGUCUAACCUAGUCUUUGGUAACUGUCAAGCUGGUUUUAUUUUACCUGAAGACAAAACAAAGGUAGGAGCAGAAGAGAGAAGCUAAGAUAAAGGUUUACUCCCACAUGCCUGUGCCGUUGGUACCCCUGCAGCAAUCCAGAUGCUCUCAUGCCAGCCAAGCAGCUACUGCAUUGCCUGUAAUGACAUCUUAGAUUGCAGCAAAGGCAAAAGGAGGGAUUUAAUCAAUGACAGCAGCACUGCAGUCUGUCCUUAUGCUAUCAAACACAUGUUCCUCAGCCCUGGUUUGCUUGUAUUCACUGCUAGCCAAGGUAGUACAGGAGAUUUAAUAGUGUGUGAAACUUUAGGGCUAUUAAAAAUCCACCUCGGGUGUUCUGAAUAACCUCCCAGGUUACUUUUCUCCCCCAAACAUUGGAAUAUUUUAUUUCCCUAACUACUGUUUUGCUCAGGGACUUUUCCCUUAAAUGGCUGCAGUCUUAGGUUACUUGUCAGCUUCAAAAGACAUCACACGUGCAACAUUUUUGUCCUGUCAGCUGGUAGCGGUUUUCAAAACAGGAUGCCUAUUUUUCCCCCGAUUAUUUCCAAGUGAGACACAGAAGUCUGAGCUUUUGUUUUCAGUUGGUUAUACAGGUUCAACCUGGUGAUUCAUUCUUCCUGCAGCUACAUUUCCAGGAAAAGACAAAGCCCUGGCUCUUCUCCAAGUUAUCCAAGUAGGAUCAGAAAGCACUCCUCCCCCAGCUGUGACACUUUCUAAGAAGGGAGAAAUUGAACAAAACACAUCCCAGAGUUGGUGUCAUCGCCCUGCAGACAGGCAAGGAGGUACAUGACCUUGGAAAGGCAUGUGCAGUACCAAAUCAGGGUGAAGAUAACAGCAGAGUUUACAAGAUUUGAGAUUCUUGGUCGUGUGAAGCAUAGCCAAGUGUGUGCAACGAGCCAUUCUCCAUUUCUGGGACUGAUGGUGACUGUGAAGCUGGAUGGCUUACGGGAAAUCCUGCAAUUUAAUUUCAAGCCUUUUAGAAGACUCUCAUCUUCUUGUUGCAGUUGGUGUGGACAGGCACAUAUGCUUGGAGUUGGGAAUUUUUCAAGAGUUAUUACUCAUAAAGAAGCUGGUAACUUUGGUUUCAGACAUCUCCUCUUAGGAAUACUGCUGCUUGCUGAUGAAGGGAAGCCUGGUUUUGCAUCAUGAGGCAAAGGACGACAGAGUUGUGUGGUUGUGAAUGCAAGUGCUGAGAUUUCAGAGAGGGAGUUAAAUAAAAACCUGCACAACUCUGCCUACAAGGAACCAUCACAGGAAAUGUAAAGACUUGUCUGAGAAGUGGGGUUCCUUCGAAUGCAGCUCACAUGUACUCAGCAAAUGGGCCAAGUAAAGAGACAGAAUUACCUCCCCCUGUAAGCCCACAAGCCAAAACACAGCUGGUAGCACUAAUAUUAGUCCUGUCAAGCCUGGUAGUCUUCAUUUAUUAUACAUCUUGCAAAUAAUUAUACAUCUAGUUAAGUUUAUAGCUCAAAAGCUGCAUUUAGUGGUUGGCAGGGUAUGCUCCUCACUUGGAGUAGUUGGCAGGGUAUUGCUCCUCUGACCUCAUUAGACUAACAGGAGGAGCAAGUCUGGUCCUUUGUAUAUUCAGAAUAAACCACAGGUCUUUCUAAUCUCUGCAUAUUAGGAGCAGAGGUCACUACUCAUUUGGCUGUCAUCACAAUCUGAUUUAGGGUUUGUUUCAAGAUGCUUUAUGGCCUUCUUUAAAGGCUGUGUUGGAGUUCUCCUGAAGUUUGCAGCAACUUCAUGAGAGGGCUUAAAUUAAGAUUUGUUUCCCACAUUUUUGAAAGUUACUUUACUUUCCCUUUUGUGAAAAUUAAAGCACGGGAGGGUUGCUGCACACUGGGUGCCCUGCUCAGAGGCAAGGGGUGGUAAUGGAGAGUCCCAUGGCACACACCUCUCUUUCUGGAGCAGGAGGAAAAGAGGUUGGAUCCCAACAGUCCGUAGUAAGCUAUUUUCAGCUCAGGCAUUCAUUAUUGCCAUGAUCUGCCAUCCAAAAUUCCUGCUUAUGCAAAAUGUGGAACUAGGUAUGUGCUGCCCAUUGUACAUCAAAGUAAUUGAUUUUUUUAAUAAUGGAAACUGUCUGAUGAUUCACUGGGGUAAAUCAAGCAAAACAGUAGAAAGAUGAGGCAAGAAAUAGGAAGAGAACCAGGACCAGUAAUAAAUCAUGAUAGAGGGUAUUCAGUGUAUUGCUAUAGCAGUAAGUCAAUAGAAUGUUAAGCUGCAUAAAUACAAGAUAAUGUGUUUCAUUUCUGCAGGCUGUUGCUCAGACUACACCUAUUAACAGGAUCGCCUGGUUCUGCAGAAAAUACACACAGCAACAAGUUUUGUCAUAUUAUCCUGAUAAAUCAGAUAUGAAUUAAGAUUUUAAGAGUUACUUUGCCAAAAUGGAGAAGGAAAUGAAUAUUCCUCAUCACUGCAGCUAAGGAAAUCAUGCACAGAUAUGGAAAAUUACUCUCUACUGGUGUUUUGAGGUAUGUGGAAGUGGAAGCUUAACUUCUCCUGGAAUGACAGGGAGGUGGGACAGUUUGCUGUUUUCUGUGACUUCCAGGGAUUAAAGUCAGCUUCCUCUUGCUUAAGACCUACAUGAAUAAGUCCUAACAGGGAAACAGACUACUGA
Parus major (Great Tit) is the source of this 4707-nucleotide long non-coding RNA. RefSeq lists it as uncharacterized. The record is from RefSeq and is a predicted model, not a curated record. The transcript is spliced from 3 exons. NCBI's taxonomy places the organism in Eukaryota, Metazoa, Chordata, Aves, Passeriformes, Paridae.